GUAGCCUAAGACGGUUUUUUUCCAAAAAAUAGAAAAAUAAUCAAUCACAAGGGGAACCACGUCCUCAAUCACACGGGAACCACACCAGGAACCUUGUCCUCACCGUCGAAAGAAAUAAAAAAAUCGAUGUCUUGGGUUACCUGUGCGUUGGACACAGGUAGCCCAAGACAAGGCACAGUAGCCCAAGACGUUUUUUUUCAAAAGAAAUAGAAAAAUAAUCAAUCACAAGGGGAACCACGUCCUCAAUCACACGGGAACCACACCAGGAACCUUGUCCUCACCGUCGAAAGAAAUAAAAAAAUCGAUGUCUUGGGUUACCUGUGCGUUGGACACAGGUAGCCCAAGACAAGGCACAGUAGCCCAAGACGUUUUUUUUUUCAAAAGAAAUAGAAAAAUAAUCAAUCACAAG
Non-coding RNA from Paramuricea clavata, 409 nucleotides. The record is from the annotation of a GenBank genome assembly. Lineage: Eukaryota; Metazoa; Cnidaria; Anthozoa; Malacalcyonacea; Plexauridae.